UCGUAGGAAGAAAGGACAAGGGAAAGAUUGAGGGUGAUUGAUUCUUGGUUCUUAGCCUGAGCAGCAGGACUGAUGGUGAUGAUCUAAGUGAAGACUGAGGAGGGAAGGAAGAAUUGUCAGUGUCUCUGGAACACAUGCAGAGAUACCUGGGAGGCGGCUGAACGGAAGGGUGUGCUGCUCCGAAGACAGAAGAGAGACCCAGCCUGGCAACCGAGGUUCUGGGGAUUGAUCAAGUCUGGAGAUGACGGCAGAAGCCCAUCGGAGUAACUGAGAGCACCCAGGAAAACCCAGGCUGGGAUGUCACAGUCAGCUUGGAAUCAGUGAUGGGUCAAGGGACAACAAUGGGACUCAAGCUGAACCCAAGCAGAUUACUUCCUGAAGGUUUAUUCUAAAUGGAACAAAGAGAAAAGGUUAGAUUCUUGUGCGAUUGGAAUUCAAAUUGCCUGUGGCCACAUUCCCUGCCUCACAGGGAAAACGUGUGUGCUCCACGACAUAAUGAAGUAAAACUAGACAGGUUCAUGCCAAGGCAAGGUGGACGGAAGCCAUUGAUGAUGUCGAGGCACAGGUCUUGGGUCCCUGCCCUUGCACACUGUCCUGGUCCCUGCAUCUGUACAUUGCACCGGAGCACUCUCAGAAAUCCCUGGUACUUCUUUCUUUGCUUAAGUUCAUCUGAGUUCAGGUUUUGUGUAACCUGUAACUAAAAUCACAUUACAAGUGCAGCUUCCCAGGCUCCUCACUGCUGGCAGCCUCUGUCUUUUCCAUAUUCCCCCAUUGCCUGGGGGUUUCAUCUCCCUCAACAAUUUAACACAGUGAAGGAAAACCCCGGUUUCUCAAAGCAGGAGUAUCAGAACCUUUUGGACCAUUGGGACAUCAAAUUUCACCAUCUCUCAAUUUUUGAGAUGUCCUUCAUCAGAGCAACAGUGAAGGAACUGGAAGAUCAUCAGUUAGAUUCUGUGUCAUCUCUAAGAACAAAUGCAUCAUCUCUUCAUCGCACAUGCGCCCCCACACAUGCUAAGGUGCUGUCUUAGGAACGUAUAGAGCAGUUUUGCAGUUGUUGCUUUCAAGACCAAAUGAAAGUUGCUUCCAAGACCAAUGCUUUAUAAAUGAAAGACCUUUUGGGGCGGCAUUGGGUCAGGUUAAAUAUCUUUAAAACCAUCUGGAGCAUGAUUUCCUUUCUUCUUAACAAUUUCUUGGUGCUAUUUUUCUUUAAGCUCAACUGUAGUAGGGGGAAAAAAAAAAAGCCCUAGAAUUCAAGCCAAAAAUCGGUGUGAAUCCUGACAGCAGGCUCCAAAAUGCCAAGUGGGAGUGAAAGAAAAGGAAACACUGACUUUUUCCAAAGCCAUGUAACAAUUCAUCCUUCAGCAGAUACCCAUGUGGUCUGAUGCGUCUGAGUUUUCAGAGGCUGGCCUGGGCCAGCAGGAACCGUUUGUCUCGGUGGCUGCGUGUUGUCUUGUGCCCAUCUAUCCAUCUCCUUCUACCACUCUGAAUCUGGUGACCUUUAGGAUUUGCUGCAAAAUCCAGAUGUUCAAUCUGGCUUGUAAAUCCCCGGAGGACUAACUAUUGGAAUAUUGGAGAGGUGCAUGUAGAUAUUUUAAACUGCAAAUGAUAAGUUAAUGAGGAGGACGGCUGGUGAGAGGGUGGGAAGGAAUGAUCUACUGCUAGAAAUUGGAUUUUCUGUGGCUGAUUCCACUUUGGGGAAGAAAUUCUUACUGUUAAUCCUAGAAUGAUAUGGCUGAUAAAGACGGUCUUAUAACUAUGGAGGUAGGCUUCAGUUUAAGAAAGCCAUGAUCAAAAUCUCAACUUUGAAAUGCAUUAACCAUACACUAGUUAUUUGAAUUUCAAGAUGUCAAUUAAUAUUUUUUAAUCAAAUGAUUCUUGUAAAUAUCUUGUUUCUCCAGUACCUUCAAAAUAGAUUUCUCAUGAUGACAUGCACAUAUUAGAAGAAAAGUACACUUUGAGGAAGUUAUAAAUGCAUAUCCUCUGAAACUGUCAGCUUGAGAGGCUUAAUCACAUGGCUGUCCCAAUAGUGGUUUGAUAAGUGGCUUGGUUACCCCUGACCUUGAGAGGAGUUCCUGUGCUUCUGAAGGUCCCUGUGGCUAUGACUGAAUUUAAGGUUGUGGUUGGAGAGUUGUUAAAUAUGACAGAUUCUGAGAGCUACUAAUAAAACUGAUAAAUUCCUAAA
Molecule: non-coding RNA, 2182 nt
Organism: Ictidomys tridecemlineatus (thirteen-lined ground squirrel)
Lineage: Eukaryota; Metazoa; Chordata; Mammalia; Rodentia; Sciuridae
Source: RefSeq, a predicted model, not a curated record